RNAcentral lists this ribosomal RNA (468 nucleotides) under uncultured bacterium. Its description in RNAcentral is "partial 16S ribosomal RNA". It matches the Rfam family "Bacterial small subunit ribosomal RNA", at positions 28 to 507 of the family's 1533-position model. The record is from RNAcentral.
GACGAACGCUGGCGGCGUGCUUAACACAUGCAAGUCGAACGGAAAGGCCCUGCUUUUGUGGGGUGCUCGGGUGGCGAACGGGUGAGUAACACGUGAGUAACCUGCCCUUGACUUUGGGAUAACUUCAGGAAACUGGGGCUAAUACCGGAUAGGAGCUCCUGCUGCAUGGGGGGGGUUGGAAAGUUUCGGCGGUUGGGGAUGGACUCGCGGCUUAUCAGCUUGUUGGUGGGGUAGUGGCUUACCAAGGCUUUGACGGGUAGCCGGCCUGAGAGGGUGACCGGCCACAUUGGGACUGAGAUACGGCCCAGACUCCUACGGGAGGCAGCAGUGGGGAAUAUUGCACAAUGGGCGGAAGCCUGAUGCAGCAACGCCGCGUGCGGGAUGACGGCCUUCGGGUUGUAAACCGCUUUCGCCUGUGACGAAGCGUGAGUGACGGUAAUGGGUAAAGAAGCACCGGCUAACUACGUG